RNAcentral lists this ribosomal RNA (487 nucleotides) under uncultured bacterium. RNAcentral's name for it is "bacterial SSU rRNA". It matches the Rfam family "Bacterial small subunit ribosomal RNA", at positions 28 to 507 of the family's 1533-position model. The record is from RNAcentral.
GAUGAACGCUAGCGGGAGGCUUAACACAUGCAAGUCGAGGGGCAGCAUAGGGUAGCAAUACUCUGAUGGCGACCGGCAAACGGGUGAGUAACGCGUAUGCAACCUACCCUGUACAGGGGGAUAACCCGGAGAAAUUCGGACUAAUAUCCCGUAAUAAUAUCCGGAGGCAUCUUUGGAUAUUUAAAGUUCCGACGGUACGGGAUGGGCAUGCGUAACAUUAACUGGUUGGUAAGGUAACGGCUUACCAAGGCUAUGAUGUUUAGGGGUCCUGAGAGGGUGGUCCCCCACACUGGUACUGAGACACGGACCAGACUCCUACGGGAGGCAGCAGUGAGGAAUAUUGGUCAAUGGGCGCAAGCCUGAACCAGCCAUCCCGCGUGCAGGAAGACGGCCCUAUGGGUUGUAAACUGCUUUUCCAGGGAGAGAAACUUACGCGCGUGUUGCGUGACUGACGGUACCCUGGGAAUAAGCAUCGGCUAACUCCGUG